This is a long non-coding RNA of Gossypium raimondii (Peruvian cotton), 2770 nucleotides long. RefSeq lists it as uncharacterized. The transcript is spliced from 2 exons. Lineage: Eukaryota; Viridiplantae; Streptophyta; Magnoliopsida; Malvales; Malvaceae. The record is from RefSeq and is a predicted model, not a curated record.
UUUCAUUACUUUUUUUUUUUGCCCUGGGGGGGGGGGUUAAAAACAUGUUUUUGAACUUUAAAUUUUGGUUUAGUGGAUUUUGCCCAAUGAUGGAAAACUCAUUGAAUGGAGCAGUUCGACUGAUUUUCGCUUUAGAGCAUUUACUAUCAUCAUUUGUUGUUCAAUUCCUUUUCCUCUUCCACUUCCUCCCCUUCCGUUUCUCUAUCCUUUCUGGUUCCUGUCGAUAACUCUCUCCUCUUUCCCUGUUCUCUUUCUCUAUUCUUUCGAUCUAUAAUUCUAUUUAUCUUCUUAUUGACACAGAUGAUGGUUGAUAAAUUCUCUUAAUGAAAACCAGUUUGUUAAUACUGUGAAUGACCAGAUAUAGCUAUGAGAUCUGAGGGCUUUGUUGAACAUUUUGAUUGUAGGAUUAUCAUUCUGUUUUUUUUUCUCAUGUGAUUUGCAUCUUGAUUAUACUCAUGCGUACCCUUAGCUGAAUGCAUUGUUAUUAGCGGUUUUCUGCAAUGAGAUUGUAUUUUUGGCUGUUAAUUGGCCUUUAGAACUCCAGUACAGUAUGGAAUUGUAAUGCUAUCGAAUAGUUGUAUGAUCUCAUUGGAUAUGUUGUAUGGGUCUUUAGUUUCAUUAAUCUUAUGAACUAUGUCAAUCUCAAUGGCAAUGUCAUACUUGAAAUUAGUCUUUUGUUGCUAGAUGAAGCUUCAUUUCCUUCUUGAUGCUUUUAUUGCGUCUAUUUCAUCAAUUAUUGUAUCCGACCCGCUUCUUCUUUAGUUGCUAAUUUGAAACCAUUAAACAUUUAAUUGUCUGAGAAAAUAUUGUGAACCCUUUUUCUGGUUUAAUACCAACUGGUAUUUGUAAGUACGUUAACUUCCUAGUGAUUCACUAUGUUUCUAGUCAAUAUUUCACUGCUUUUGAUACCAUCUGUGUGACAUAUGCUUAAUGAAUUUCAGAGGUUUUGGCAUGUGCCCAAUGGCGAGAAAAAGCUGAUAUAUUGGGUAGUUCUUUUGCUACUUAGUCUUGUUGUUGUUUACCUUUUUCACCGAGCUCUUGGAAUGAAAGUCAUGAGCAUCACUAUUGUUGAAUUAUGUUACUAAAGUUAUAUUUCUUUCUUUGAAAUAUAUCUUCCUUGUUGUUAUAGGGCUUUUAGGGUAUCUAAAGCUUGAUUAGAGCCUUGGUGACCAUUGUACCUUUUGCUUUCUCAGUAUAUACUCUUUUAGUAAAUCAUAGUUUCUUCUUUCAAUGAUGUUAUGUAGGGUUUUAGAAACCUGUGCCUUGGGUUUCAUUGAGACUUAUUGCUGCUUUUGCCCCAUGAUGGAAAACUCAUUUUUGAUUGAAUGGUUCUGGUUUUCUAUUCUUCUCUGGCUUUUGCACUCCACCUCCUCUCUCUCUCUCUCUCUCUCUCUUGGAUGGUCUUUAUACUGGCUGUGCAUUGGAUGGUUUUCCAAUACACACACACACUAUACCUUUCUAUCUAUCUAUAUCUAUAUAGACAUUUCUUUGGUGGUAAGGUGGUGUAUGAAAAGCCAUUGAAUGAUGUGUUUACUGUGAAACUGUACAUGAUGUUGGCAUAGCCAUGAGGUCUGAGGGCUCUUUUUGUUUGCACUUCUAGUGCAUUUUGGAGGCAGAUGUGUUCAGCCAAAAGGUGCUAAUUUAGUUCAAAUAGAACUGUGUAAGGAGUUUGUAUCUUUUGACUUCUGGCAUUAACAAAUGCCAUAUACAGUGCUGAACUGUAAAUAUGUGUGUGUGCAUAUUUUUCACUUUCCUUUUCCUUCUAUGAGUGUAUUUUUAGUGAGCAAUCUUAGAGAUACCUUAUACUUUAUAUUAUGAAUGUAUUUAAGCCCAAUGCUUCAGAGAAAUGCAGACAUAGUAUUUCUGGUUGAUUAAAUCUGCAUUUAUAUUUAUAUUUAAUCUUUGCUGUUGUGAGGUGGGUUUUCUAUGGUUUUAUUUGAUAGUACAUGUGUAUAUUUAUCACCCCUUUUUUCUUCUAUGAGCAUAUUUGGCAUCGAGUUCACAUUCCCUAAACACGCUUGGAUGUUAGUUUGCUCAUCAACCUGCCCUGCCCAAUGAUGAAUACUUGUAUAGGCUUAGAGGUGCCCACGUCAUUGUUAUUAGCCUCCAUCCUCUCUACUAUUUGUUAUCUCUAGUUUUGGCUUCUUCUUUUUCUUCUUCUCUCUUCGUUGUCGCAGUUGUUGUUGUUAUUAUUAUUACUAUUAUUUUUAUUAUGAUUUGUUAGUCCUUUUGACUAUUGAUGGCAAUGGAAGUAGAGGAUGUGGAAAGGUUAUCAAUGAAACUAAAUAGUCUCACCAUUGAUGAAUUUCUUAGAACUAUUGAGUUCUGACCUCUGAGGGCAUUGCAGGUUCUGUCACUGUAUGAUAUCUGAAGAUGAAAUGAAAUGUUUUGAUUUUCAUUGCUGAAGAGUUUGUUUUUGGGCAUGGACAGGAGAAGUAACAGAAAAUAUUUGUUUUGUGGUCAGGUGGUGUGUGAAAAGUGAAUGCGUUUACAUGAUGUUGACAUAGCCAUGAGUUCUCAGCGCACCUGUUGGUUGCAGUUUUAGAGAUUAGAAGAUGCUAAUUUAGUGGGAAUAGAACUGUGUAUAACUUGGGGCAUUUAAUAAAUGCUGUGUACAGUGCCCAACUAUAAACAAAUGCUCCUGUAUUUUUCACUCUCCUUUCUCCCGAGUGUACUUAUCCACGCUGUCUUUGAGUUAUUAUAUUAUUACAAUAUCAAUGUUUGGGCUUAGGCUGAUAGAUCUCUUCCUAAACCAAAUGUACAAUGCGAA